RNAcentral lists this ribosomal RNA (495 nucleotides) under uncultured bacterium. RNAcentral describes it as "partial 16S ribosomal RNA". It matches the Rfam family "Bacterial small subunit ribosomal RNA", at positions 28 to 507 of the family's 1533-position model. The record is from RNAcentral.
GACGAACGCUGGCGGCGUGCCUAAUACAUGCAAGUCGAACGCUGAAGGAGGAGCUUGCUCUUCUGGAUGAGUUGCGAACGGGUGAGUAACGCGUAGGUAACCUGCCUGGUAGCGGGGGAUAACUAUUGGAAACGAUAGCUAAUACCGCAUAAAAUUGAUUAUUGCAUGAUAGUCAAUUAAAAGGUGCAAUUGCAUCACUACCAGAUGGACCUGCGUUGUAUUAGCUAGUUGGUGAGGUAACGGCUAAACAAGGCAACGAUACAUAGCCGACCUGGGUGGGGGAUCGGCCACGCUGGGACUUAGACACGGCCCUGACUCCUCCAGAAGGCAGCGGUAGAGGAACGUCGGUGAUGGACGGCAGUCUGACCGAGCUACGCCGCGGCGGUGAAGAAGGGUUUCGGAUCGUUAGACUCAGUUGUAGGGGAAGACCGAGUGUGAGAGUGGAAAGUUCACACUGUGACGGUACCUGACCAGAAAGGGCCGGCUAGCUACGUG